Molecule: ribosomal RNA, 477 nt
Filed under: Pantoea sp. LL69
Lineage: Bacteria; Pseudomonadati; Pseudomonadota; Gammaproteobacteria; Enterobacterales; Erwiniaceae
Description: partial 16S ribosomal RNA
Rfam family: Bacterial small subunit ribosomal RNA
Source: RNAcentral
GCGAUUUGCGGCGGCCUACCAUGCAGUCGGACGGUAGCACAGAGAACUUGGUCUCGUGUGAGAAGUGUGGGACGGGUGAGUAAUGUGUGGGGAUCUGCCCCAUAUAGGGGGAGAACCCCUGUGAACGGUGGGUAAUACCCCAUAACGUCUCACAACCAAAAAGGGGGACCUUCUCGCCUCUCUCUAUCUCAUGAACCCCCAUGGGAUUAUCUCUUAUGCGGGGUAAUGUGCCCCCUCUGCGACAAUCCCUCUCUGGGCUGAGAGGAUGACCCCCCCCACUGUGACUGAGACACGGUCCCCACUCCUACAGGAGGCGCCACUGGGGAAUAUUGUGCAAUGUGCGCACACCUGAUGCACCCCUGCCCCGUGUGUAAAAAAAGCCUUCUCGUUGUAAAAUACUUUCUCCGGGGAGAAAAGCGACAGGGUUAAUAACCCCGUCUAUUGACAUUUCCCCCACAAAAAACACCGGCUAUCUCU